Molecule: long non-coding RNA, 1181 nt
Filed under: Gouania willdenowi (blunt-snouted clingfish)
Lineage: Eukaryota; Metazoa; Chordata; Actinopteri; Blenniiformes; Gobiesocidae
Description: lncRNA (ENSGWIG00000022329.1)
Source: RNAcentral
AUGGAGAGAUGUUCCAUCUCUCCUGUCGCACGACUGACUGCCCUCAUCUUCUUCCUGGUCGCUCUGGUGACAGAACCUUCUACCUGUAACCGCGACGAUGGCGAGGAACCGGCUGAUACUCUGUUGGUCACUGCCCAGGUUACACCCACUCCUUUGUGGGCAGUGAUCUGGGGUCCCACGCAACAACUGGAUGAUGAGACCUACCACUUUGCCUUCAGCCAGGAAACUGACCAGCUCUCCCAGCAGGCCAGCACCACCUCACCUGGAGAUCGGCAUCAUCCAGACGCAAGCUUAGCAUCCAGAGAAAGAUCCUCCUUAGAGUCCAUUAACCAGGAGGGAGCGGAAGGUGUGGACGCAGAGGCUGAGGAGACGGAGCCUGAGGAAGUGGACCCACAGUUCUACGUCACUGUGACCAUCUCGUCACUGCUUAUCCUGACAGCCGUCAUCAUUACAGCUAAACUCUGUUACGAUCGCAGCUGUUCUCAGCAUCCGCCUCCGCUUUCCCGUGGCGUGGCUCCCCCACUCUCGCUGGCGCUCCCCCGAUCCCUCGCUUCAGAGGACAGCCGGCAGACGCUGCACAGCACCUCAUCCUCCUUCACCGACAGAGAGAGGAUCCCAGUUGUAAAUCUCUGAGGAGACUGAUUUAUCCACGUGGUAAACAUUGCUACGGGGGCCUGCGGAAGAACAUCAACACAACCAGAGGGUGUGCCCCAGAGUGCCGUUUUACUUUCCUCUGAAACUGUGAAAUGAAUUCUGGGAUCCCACAUGUUCCACCAUCACAAAACACUUCUGCUUCCCCAAGGUCUAAAGAUUUAAAGCUCAUCCUUCGCCGCUCGCUCCUUCCCUCUCGGAGUGAAUUUCUUUUGUGCAGUUCUGCGUCACUCCAACGUACCACUGAAAUUUCCACCCCCCUGUAUGGCUUCGAGCUCUACCAAGCUACCUACCAGUUUCAUGCUUCAACCUGCCAUGACUAAUCACAAACAAGCAGCCAUGCAGCAUCCUAUUAGCCCCGUGAUGAUGACCUACCUGAGCUUCCAAAAGCUGUUUCCAGGGAUGUAGCAGCCCAGGUGAUGCUGUUCGCUACUAAAACCCAUCCUGCUGACUGUUUUCUUCAUCAAUGUAAGCUCCCUUUUUGCGGAGUGGCAACUGGUUAAUAAAUGGUUAAAACCUCAUUUUCUGCA